Molecule: long non-coding RNA, 3423 nt
Filed under: Canis lupus familiaris (dog)
Lineage: Eukaryota; Metazoa; Chordata; Mammalia; Carnivora; Canidae
Description: lncRNA (ENSCAFG00000052692.1)
Source: RNAcentral
UGUAAAUGGUGACUCAAAUUCUCAGGAUUUUGAGAUUAUUAAAUGGGCUCAUUUAUAUAAAGAGGCUUGUAAAGUGCACGGGCACCUAACUGGCACAGAAUAAAUGUAGGUAUCUGCCUGCACUCAGCAAAGCUUUGUUGAGUUGAGUAUUAUGUGUGAGGUCUCCUGGCAGUAACUGAGGGACAGAAUAAGACACUUGAUUUCUUCUCCUGAGGAAUUUCUCAUUUUGAUACUAAAGAAUAGCCAGGGAAUUUUGGAUUUUCCUACACUAAAUGAAGUUAAAUGUUUUGCUCAGUGUAUUAUCAAACAUCCAAUGGGAUGUAACUGAAUUUUUUUUUUCUAAAGCCAAGCAAACUGGGUUAAAGGACACCAUGGUAACUAAAAUGUUCAUAAAGUCCAAACCACUUACUUGGAAUGAAGCCUCAUCCCCCUCCCCAUAUUUGCAGAAAGAACAACUGGGGCUUCCCCCCCAGCCUACUUUUUAUAUUGAUUCUAUUUUCUAUUGAUUUUUUCUACUGUAGGAUUAUGAACUACUUUAAGUCCCUCUGAAACUAGAAAGAAUAUGAAUAAGGUAACAAACAAUGAAACACCAUGAUUUUUAUUUGCAUUUUUUAAUUACUAGUGAGGUUGAAUAUAUUUCCAUAUUAGCUUUCAGUUGUAUUUUGCCAGUAGUUCUGUUUUAUGAUUUUAACUGGUUACUAUCCAUCUGGUAUCUUCUGAGCCUGGGUAUUACUUAUCUUUGUAUCUUUUGUGCAGUGUGGUACAGCACCUCGGACCAAGUGGGAUUUGAAUAAAAAUGCUCCUACAAUGUGCCAGGCACUGGUGCUGGUGCCUCGGAAGUAGGCUCUCAGGGACACAUUCUAAGCUCUGUGAUGCCUGUAUUGGCCACUCUGAAUGAAGGAAACUGAUUUGGUGCUAGUGGCCCAGGUUCAAAGACUAGAUCUGUUGUUUACUGGCUGUGUAACCUCAGGCAAAGUUGCUUCACUGCUCUGGGCCUCAGUUUUUCUAGCCAUGUAAUAAGGAUAUUCUAGAUAAGCUCUAAGAUCCCCCUUAAUUCUUAUGAUAUAUUCAUACAACAUACUUAUUUAUAGGAUGAAAGAUUAUGUUCAAAUUGUAAUUAUUCUGAAAAUUCUGUUUUAUUAUUCUAUAGAUUGUAUCAAGCAGUGCUGUCCAACAGAAAUAUAGUGUGGGCCUUGAGUGUGAGCUACAUAUGUAAUCUUAAAAUUAAAAGUCACUGCAUUUUAAGUGAGUAAAAAAGAAACAGGUGAAAUUAGCUUAAAUAUAUUUUCUUUAAGUGAAUAUAACCAAACAUUAUCAUUUUAAUAGGUGGCACUAGCUAUAUUUCCAGUGCCCGAUAACUACAUGGGGCCCAAGGCUCCUGUGUUGGACAGCAAGGUAUGGAGUGUGGCAUGGGGGAGGCUGUCCUUUUCUGCUGCUGCUGCCCUCUGGUGGAUGUACAAAUGAGUGGCAUCUCACAGAACAGGUGGGAUGGGUGUCCUACUAUUACCACAUGUCAAAUCAGAAACAUAAAUAGUAAGGGGAGGGACAGACGUAGGCCACAGUAGAAUAAAUGAAAGACCCUCAUGCUAUUCCAUACGUGUGAGAAAUAUGGGCUCUAGUACUAACACUGUCUCAGGCCAGGAAGUAAACGAGAUCAUCUCUGUGAGCUGGAAGUCAAAUCAGAGACUAUUUAUCAGGAAUCUAGAAAAAGGGAAAUAUAAAUAACCUGAACUAUUUCCAAACUCUUUUCCAAUGAUAAUUAUGCCAAGAGUCCUUCCGCUGCCACCCUGAAAUGCUCUGCAGGGCCUUUUGAGUAUUUGGGGAAUGGACUGAUUGUGUUUGGUUUGUUUGAUUCUUUGCAAAUUGGUACCAACUGUAUAAAGUAUUUUGGGACCUUCUAGCAAGCAGAAUGUUUGAUUUGUUAGAACAAUUAAUUGGAAUAGCAGAAAGAGCAUGGAUUUUGGAGUCAGACUUAGAUUUGACUCUUAAAUAUGUCGUUUUCUGUGUGACCUUGAGUUUGAAAUUUAAUCUCUUUGGACUUCAGUUUCCUCAUCUGAAAAGUGGGAAUGACUCUUCAUCUGCAGGACACUUAGUAUUUAAAUGAUGAUUAUCUAUACAAUGAAUAUUUAUUGAGCACAUAUUAUAUGUCAGGUAUAAUAUGUCAGGUAUUGUAUAGGGUACAAUACAGUAAAAUAAGAUAUAAUCCACCCCUUCCUCCAUAGGGCCUUCCUGGUGGGGAAAACAAGUAUUUAAAAACCAUUAGUGUUUGAAAGAAUACAUUCAGGGCAUUAUGGAAGCAUGAAGUUGGGAACCUUAUGGGGUAGAUCUAAGGCAGGGCCUCUGAAGAAUGACAUUGAAUGGAAUCUAUAACAAUGAAUAGAGAUCAUCUAGACAGAAGAUUUUGUAUGAAGAGGUGUGGAGGGUGGAUAGAGCAGUGUUCUAGGCAGACAGAACAGUAUGUGCAAAGGCCCUGAGGCAAGAGAGAAGAUGGCUCAUUUGAGGACCUAAAAGUCAUUCAGUCCAGAACAAAAAGAGGAGACUAAUGGGGCUAGAGAUUAGUGGGUCAGAUCCAGCAGGUUCUUGUGAGUUGAGAGAGAUUAGACCUACAUUCAGAAGGCAUGGAGCUAUUGGCAGAUACUAAACAGGAGAGUGAUAUAAUUGCAUUGUUUUAAAAUCUUUCUGGCUACAUAGUAAGACAUGGAUUAAAUUACCGUGUGGAGCACAAAGUGGAGACUACAGCAGGAAUAAGGGUAAAAUAUGAUGGAGUUUCGGAUGUGGUAUGUAUAGUAUGAUAGAAGGGGAUUAAUCUAAGCAAUAUUUAGGGAAAUAAGAGAGAGAAUUAACCAGAUUGCUUUAUCUUCAUGAGUUGCUCUGUGGCAUGUGGCUGAUGGGUGUUACCUGGUGUGCUGUUCCUAAAGCCACGGCCUCGGCAAAUAUAUGCUGAUAUUCUACAAUCUGCCACAUACUGACCUAGGUGCUGCAGGUACCAUGGCAAACAAAAACAGACCAAAAUUCCAGGCCUCAAGACACUUAUGUUCUCUUAGAAAUAUGAUGAGGAUAAUAUAUGUAAGUAGCUGCUUUAUGGUAGGUAUCAGUGAAUAUCAACUCAUUCAUCUCUUCCCCAAUUGUGAUGGAAACCUAAUUUCUAUAUUAACAUUUAAAUAACACUAUGAAAUCACUCUGCAAGCUACACCAAUGCUGUGAUUUCAAAUAAAAGUCCAAGAGCCCUGUAGUGUCCACUGUACAUGAGGUCAUAUUGAUAAGACCCUGGUUUGGAUCUGACCUCCCAUCAUCUCACCUGUACCAUAGGCCCGCAUCAUUACAUGCUCCCCAUUUUCACUUAUAUAUAUUGUUGCAGAGAAGAAAAAAGAGAGAAGAAGUUAGCAAGGAAAUACAGAGCUGGUCAGGACUUUCUUUUUGCCU